UAGAUCUUGCUCCCCCCUUGCUCCAUUGAAUUUUCGGUAGUCAACCCAACCACCAUCUCUUCAAUUUGAUUUUCUUUGCAUUCUUGAAGACACGCAUAAGGCAAAAUGGAAGAUAAUUCUUUCACUGUCUACAUCACUUUCUUUCUCAAGCUCUCAAGCACUCUCUCAACCCUUUCAUUUUCGGCCAGCAGGCAGCAACCCCUUCCCAUGGCUGAAACCACUUUGUUUUACUGGUAAACCAUCCCGGUUUUCCGGUGACUGCCUCCCAACCCGACCUGAACUUCAAACAAACCACAUAUUCCGCACGUAUUGGACCUCCUAAGUCCAUUGUCGACAUCCAUUUUUCCAUUUGAGGCCUCCUUCAGCCUGCACCAGCUCAGCACAGUAGCCCCUCCCUUGAGUUUUGUCGGUUUUUCGGUGAGCUUCCUUCCUCCACGACUUUGGCGAGUCGUGCCCACAUGUGCAGGAGAGCCACCUGCAGUUCACACCCUUCCCAUGACUAGGAGAGUCAUGGACCAAGGGCCCAACCCCUCAUCUUCCCGACAUGCCCUGCUCUCCUCUUGGGUCUCCUUCCCUAUCUCUCUCGGCUUACCCUCACACGGGUCAGUCCGUGACCCUACAGCUCGUGCGCCACCCGCAUCCAGGGGUCCCUCAGCUGCCCCGAGCCAUUGAGCACGCGCGCCACAGCCUCCUCCCUCGCCCGUUGAGCUGAGCCAACUCUCGGCUCUUGUGCGGUUGAUUUUGUGUUUUCAAUUGGCCAAAUUAUGAAACUUUCUUGUGCUUCCCUCUGGUUGUACUACCAAAGAGAUGCUGUGAAUUACAACACAAAUCGAUUUAGAUGGCCGGGAAUGGUAGUAGUGUUCUCUUUGUCUCUAGGCUGAUAACGAGUUGUAAUCAACAUUUCUUCUUGUGCUAUUGAUUGAAAAACGAAAAGUUCUUAAGGAAAUUCUUUUAAACUGAAGCAAAGUAAUGAACUUUGAUCGGCAAAUUGUCUUAUUGCAACCCUAAUUUAUAUUGUCUGUAUUAAAAAACCAGUGAAUGAAAUUACACUUCAUAAUCAUUUGAGAUAAAAUAAUUUUUUUAGAAAGGUUUUCUUGCCCCCAGUUUUACAUGUUCUCAUUAGGCUAUGCAGUCAUGAUAUAUUUUUUUAGGUAGACAGAUUAUUUUUUAGGUAGAUUCAGUCAUGAUAUUUUUUAAUAUACAAUAUAUAGCUGCUUUGUUCCCUCUUAGUGACUGAUGUCCCAUCUGUUAUUUCGCAUUUACAAAGUGAUUAUUGCUAUGAGACUCUUCUUUUAGUAUCCUUUCAAAAUUUUAUGAUUCGUAUUUGACUCAAGCAAUUAGAGGUCCUGUCAAAAGAAUUAACCACAAACUAUUUGCUUGUUUAAGUAGACAAGGAGUUUUUAAAAUCUUUUUGCUUGUGAGAAAUUAUAUUCGCUUAUAUGCAAUUAACCGACAUUCUCUAUUUCUUUAUGAACCUUUUCUGCCACAUUUAAGUAUAGGUGCUCUUACAGUAACGUCUAUUAUGCAUGUUCAACCCUAUAACGACAAAGGGUGCGUACAAAACCUGCAAUUAAAAUCCAAAAACGAGCACGAGCAUUUUUCUCGGCUGCUACCUCAUAAUAGCAAUCUUGCACUGUUGAAGGUAUGUGCAUAGUUACACUUUUGAAAUUACUUUUGAAAGGUAAACAGUACUUUCCCCAACGUUUUUCUUUCUUCUGGUCACUUACCUGACCCUUCACAGCUUUCGUUUUUUUCACAUUUGACCUCACUACCCACUGAAUGCCCGCGCCUUCCAUUUGCAUGUUCGACAAAAUUCAUUUCCUUUCCUCUUUUAGGGGCAGGUAUUAUUGCCCGACCUGGUGUUAGUUGCCCUAACGGUCCUCACAUGCUCUUCCACACUAACUUAUUACUUUUGUGGCAUCACCAGAUGCAAGAAUGACGCUACUCUGUUUGUCGAUAUUAUUUAUAUUCAAGUUUGGCUUGCUGUUGUCUGUGGUUGACCAUGAAAGCAAUAACUGGUCCCCGUGUUCCAUGAUUCCUUUGCUUGUAUCUGUUUUUAUGUCUGUCUUUGUGGCCUCAUUAGUUUAGUGGCUGCCUAAAUUUUCGCCCCAUACAUGUUCAGCUCCUCUGAUGCUUUUGUUACAAAAAUUAAUGUGGAGAGGCAUGCUAGGUGUUGUUCUGUCUGUCUCUCUUUUUCAUACAUCUGUUUGUCAUUGGGCUAUCAUUUAAAAUUAUUUGUGAUUAUUUGUGUGCACUUAGCUUUCUCAGAUUAAGAAUAUGUUCCAUGUAUACUUCAAUGACAGCACAUUUUGGCAUGAAUUCAGUGGGCUAAUCACUUGCAUUCGGUGAAGGGCUUUCUCAAUAAUUGGUAUCUAUUUGUACCAUUCUUACACUCUUUAUAUUAGCAGCAUAAUUAGCACUCUGCUCAUGUAUUGGGAUAGUUCUUUUUUGAUUGACUACUGACUAUUCAUUUAUAUUUCAUUGCAUUAUGUCUUUGAUUUGAGAAAAAGUCGGGUGGCCUGUUUAUCGAUUGAACUAUACUUAAUCAUGCCAUUGCCUUUUCGACAUUAAGCUCUAUUGCUAUAUGUAAUACAUUAAUGCAAUAUUUUCCUUUGAUUUACUCACAUGUUUUUUCUAGCAUGGGAAUUACCAUUGCAGUUGAAAUAUAUUCACCAUCUAUCUACGUGAUUCUAAUCUUUGCAAGUGUUAUUGAUCUUUCUAGCUUUUUUUUAGUUUGUUGUUCCUGAUUCCCUCGGGUCCAUGCAAUGGCCACAUUAAGAGGAGGACAAAAGUCGUGACUUCGUAAUUUGUGUAUCUUUGCAACAAAAUUGAAGAGCAAAUUGAUUCAAGUCACACAUGGGGAAGGAUCAUUGCUUCUGGGAUUGCUGAAGAAGGCUAUUUCUCUUGCUCGAAAUAAUUGCUUCCAAAAUAAGUAUUUCACUAUGAAAAUAUACUCUCUCUCUGUCUCUAUAUAUAUAUAUGCCCGUAUACACUCAUCUGUUUGUCAUUGUUAUAUUUGGAUAUUUUGUUUGUUUAGAUGUAUUUUACUAUUCUUAAUUCUAAUUCAUAGUAAACAAUACUUUUGCUC
Non-coding RNA from Punica granatum (pomegranate), 3088 nucleotides. Lineage: Eukaryota; Viridiplantae; Streptophyta; Magnoliopsida; Myrtales; Lythraceae. The record is from RefSeq and is a predicted model, not a curated record.